Molecule: ribosomal RNA, 253 nt
Filed under: uncultured bacterium
Lineage: Bacteria
Description: partial 16S ribosomal RNA
Rfam family: Bacterial small subunit ribosomal RNA
Source: RNAcentral
UACAGAGGGUGCGAGCGUUAAUCGGAAUUACUGGGCGUAAAGCGUGCGUAGACGGUUAUUUAAGUCGGGUGUGAAAGCCCCGGGCUCAACCUGGGAAUUGCAUUCGAGACUGAAUAGCUAGGGUACGGUAGAGGGAAGUGGAAUUUCCGGUGUAGCGGUGAAAUGCGUAGAUAUCAAGAGGAACACCUGAGGUGAAGACGGGUUGCUGGGCUGACACUGACGCUGAGGCGCGAAAGCUAGGGUAGCAAACGGG